AUGCCGCCACCUCCCUCCCCAUCCCCUCCCUCGGUGAGCCACCGGCGAGCCCCUCUACUGCCCGCGCACGCACAACCUCGGCUCCUGUUGCUCUCCAUCGACCCCGAUGCUCCUACUCCAGCCGGCAUCUGGCGGAGCAUCGCCACUCCGACCCCCUCCCUUCCCCACCCGCUCCUCUCGAUCCCGUCCCCUUCCUCCCUGCCGUCUUCUCCUUGCGACGCCCCACCCUCCACCAGGCCCUCCGCCAGCCCGAGCCCCUCGCUCCCUUCUCCACCUUCGCUCGACUUGACCAUGUCGUCGUGGGGGAUGGGGUCGUUGGGCUCACGGCCGAGCUCGACAAGGUGGAGCUCGUGCGCGCCCACGACGAUCCUGAGCGCAACGCCGGCUUCUGCUUCCUCUACUACGCGGACGGCGCAGGUCGACGGUGUAGGUCGCGGGCGUGGCGGAGCCCAUCCAUCCACCCAUCUUCCCCAAAGUUUCCUUCGACAAGUAGCAGCAGCGGAAGGACAUGGCGACGAACGUGCAGAUGGGCGGCGGCUCUCGCUCAUCAACAACACCUUCUACUCCAACAAGGAGAUCUUCCUCCGCGAGCUCAUCUCCAACUCGUCAGAUGCGCUUGACAAGAUCCGGCUCGAGAGCCUGACGGACAAGAGCAAGCUCGACGCCAGCCGGAGCUCUUCAUCCGCCUCAUCCCCGGUAAGCCCAACAAGACGCUCUCCAUCAUCGACAGGGCGUCGGCAUGACAAAAUCAGGAACGUCACUGGAUUCUGGAAUCUGACCGAGAUCCCGCCGGAGCUCUUCAACUCGAUGGAGCUGGUCUCUCUGUGA
RNAcentral lists this ribosomal RNA (828 nucleotides) under Triticum aestivum (bread wheat). Its description in RNAcentral is "partial small subunit ribosomal RNA". Lineage: Eukaryota; Viridiplantae; Streptophyta; Magnoliopsida; Poales; Poaceae. The record is from RNAcentral.